GAUGAACGCUGGCGGCGUGCCUAAUACAUGCAAGUCGAGCGAACGGACGAGAAGCUUGCUUCUCUGAUGUUAGCGGCGGACGGGUGAGUAACACGUGGAUAACCUACCUCUACGACUGGGAUAACUUCGGGAAACCGGGGCUAAUACCGGAUAAUAUUUUGAACCGCAUGGUUCAAAAGUGAAAGAAGGUCUUGCUGUCACUUAUAGAUGGAUCAGCGCUGCAUUAGCUAGUUGGUAAGGUAACGGCUUAGCAAGGCAACGAUGCAUAGCCGACCUGAGAGGGUGAUCGGCCACACGGGAACUGAGACUCAGCCCAGACUCCUACGGUAGGCAGCAGUAGAGAAUCUUCCGCAAUGGACGAAAGCCUGACAGAGCAACGCCGCGUGAGGGAUGAAGGUCUUCGGAUCGUAAAACGCUGUUAUUAGGGAAGAACUAAAGUGUAAUUAACUGUGCUCAUCAUGACAGUACCGAAUCAGAAAGCCACGGCUAACCACGUG
Molecule: ribosomal RNA, 497 nt
Filed under: uncultured bacterium
Lineage: Bacteria
Description: partial 16S ribosomal RNA
Rfam family: Bacterial small subunit ribosomal RNA
Source: RNAcentral